RNAcentral lists this ribosomal RNA (359 nucleotides) under uncultured bacterium. RNAcentral describes it as "bacterial SSU rRNA". It matches the Rfam family "Bacterial small subunit ribosomal RNA", at positions 8 to 350 of the family's 1533-position model. The record is from RNAcentral.
AGAGUUUGAUCCUGGCUCAGGAUGAACGCUAGCUACAGGCUUAACACAUGCAAGUCGAGGGGAAACGACAUCGAAAGCUUGCUUUUGAUGGGCGUCGACCGGCGCACGGGUGAGUAACGCGUAUCCAACCUGCCCACCACUUGGGGAUAACCUUGCGAAAGUAAGACUAAUACCCAAUGACGUCUCUAGAAGACAUCUGAAGGAGAUUAAAGAUUUAUCGGUGAUGGAUGGGGAUGCGUCUGAUUAGCUUGGUUGGCGGGGUAACGGCCACCGAAGGCGACGAUCAGGUAGGGGUUCUGGAGAGGAACGGUCCCCCACAUUGGAACUGAGACACGGUCCAAAACGUCCUACGGGAGGCA